GCUUUAGAGACACCUCAGUCUAAUGGCCUCCUUGUUUAAUUACCUUAACAGGAGCUAAAUUUGGAGAUAGGUGGGGUUCUCUCUUGUCUCGCUCCAGCCUCAGCCUUAGACAAGCCCUGCGCAAAGGGUGGAACUUUCUCGGCCGUCCUGCCGCUUCUCCCUGUGGCAGCUGAACUCUGCCUGUAUCUGUUGUUGGUCUUGCCUGAGAAUUUCUUGCCCAAGAGAUUUUACACCUACUUUUUCCAGAAUAAAUGGAUCUUUGUGCACUAGGGGCAAGAGGGUGUUUUAUCUCUCCGCAGGUAGCUCAAGGCUUAACUUGGCAGGAGAGAAGUUUCCGUGAAAGUCGGCAGGUUUUUUCCUGUUCUCCACAGCCGCUGAGGAUCUGCUCCAUACCUGUUUCAUCGAGGGGCAUUCUCUCUGAUUUCCUGCCCUGCCCCCAUCCUUUCCCAUGAGCGCCUGGAGAGGCAAACAAGAGCUCGAGAGAGAAGGAUAAAGUUUAGUAAGCAGCUUCAUUUUGAAUAACAGCGAAACUGAGACCUGCUAGAACAAGGGUCAUCUGUGUCAUGCUGAGUAUCACGUGGGGAUCCCUAUUCCCCAAGAGCUGAGAUUGACGAUGCGUGUGUAAGUAACACAGAGGUGCAUGAAGAAGCAAAAUUCAGAGAAUAACACUUUUAGUAUUGGAUGGUGGUAAACAGUGUUCCUCCCAAGGUCUCCAGGGCUUCAGGGGAUGAAGAUGAAGCUGAAGCGGCAGUGCUUACAAGGCGAAGAGGCAGCUCUUCCAGCCAACCCUGGCUCUGAACUCACACUUCCAUGGAAUAGUUAGAGUUGGCCUUAAAGAGAAUUCAUUCAAGCUUGACAAACUGUGGGUAAUUGCCACCGGGAUACAGAGAACAGGAUGACAACUUCCUUACAUCAACUUCUGUGAAGGCAAUCAUCAAG
RNAcentral lists this long non-coding RNA (939 nucleotides) under Equus caballus (horse). Its description in RNAcentral is "lncRNA (ENSECAG00000028957.2)". The record is from RNAcentral. Lineage: Eukaryota; Metazoa; Chordata; Mammalia; Perissodactyla; Equidae.